GAUGAAGAACGCAGCGAAAUGCGAUAAGUAAUGUGAAUUGCAGAAUUCAGUGAAUCAUCGAAUCUUUGAACGCACAUUGCGCCCGUCAGUAUUCUGGCGGGCAUGCCUGUUCGAGCGUCAUUACGCCCCUCAAGUCCCCUGUGGACUUGGUGUUGGGGAUCGGCGAGGCUGGUUUUCCAGCACAGCCGUCCCUUAAAUUAAUUGGCGGUCUCGCCGUGGCCCUCCUCUGCGCAGUAGUAAAACACUCGCAACAGGAGCCCGGCGCGGUCCACUGCCGUAAAACCCCCCAACUUUUUAUAGUUGACCUCGGAUCAGGUAGGGAUACCCGCUGAACUUAAGCAUAUCAAUAAGCGGAGGA
Molecule: unclassified non-coding RNA, 358 nt
Filed under: soil metagenome
Description: partial contains 5.8S ribosomal RNA, internal transcribed spacer 2, and large subunit ribosomal RNA
Rfam family: 5.8S ribosomal RNA (bases 1-120)
Source: RNAcentral